Molecule: ribosomal RNA, 495 nt
Filed under: uncultured bacterium
Lineage: Bacteria
Description: partial 16S ribosomal RNA
Rfam family: Bacterial small subunit ribosomal RNA
Source: RNAcentral
GAUGAACGCUGGCGGCGUGCCUAAUACAUGCAAGUAGAACGCUGAAGGAGGAGCUUGCUCUUCUGGAUGAGUUGCGAACGGGUGAGUAACGCGUAGGUAACCUGCCUGGUAGCGGGGGAUAACUAUUGGAAACGAUAGCUAAUACCGCAUGACAACAGUUAUUGCAUGAUAACUGUUUAAAAGGGGCAACUGCUCCACUACCAGAUGGACCUGCGUUGUAUUAGCUAGUUGGUGAGGUAACGGCUCACCAAGGCGACGAUACAUAGCCGACCUGAGAGGGUGAUCGGCCACACUGGGACUGGGACAAGGCCCAGACUCCUACGGGAGGCAGCAGUAGGGAAUCUUCGGCAAUGGACGGAAGUCUGACCGAGCAACGCCGCGUGAGUGAAGAAGGUUUUCGGAUCGUAAAGCUCUGUUGUAAGAGAAGAACGAGUGUGAGAGUGGAAAGUUCACGCUGUGACGGUAUCUUACCAGAAAGGGACGGCUAACUACGUG